This 72-nucleotide transfer RNA is filed under the name Promethearchaeota archaeon. RNAcentral's name for it is "Candidatus Lokiarchaeota archaeon (microbial mat metagenome) tRNA-Thr". It matches the Rfam family "tRNA". Rfam says of the family: Transfer RNA (tRNA) molecules are approximately 80 nucleotides in length. Their secondary structure includes four short double-helical elements and three loops (D, anti-codon, and T loops). Further hydrogen bonds mediate the characteristic L-shaped molecular structure. tRNAs have two regions of fundamental functional importance: the anti-codon, which is responsible for specific mRNA codon recognition, and the 3' end, to which the tRNAs corresponding amino acid is attached (by aminoacyl-tRNA synthetases). tRNAs cope with the degeneracy of the genetic code in two manners: having more than one tRNA (with a specific anti-codon) for a particular amino acid; and 'wobble' base-pairing, i.e. permitting non-standard base-pairing at the 3rd anti-codon position. The record is from RNAcentral. Lineage: Archaea; Promethearchaeati; Promethearchaeota.
GCCUCUGUGGCUUAGCGGUAGAGCAACUGAUUCGUAAUCAGUAGAUCGGGAGUUCAAAUCUCCCCAGGGGCU